RNAcentral lists this ribosomal RNA (301 nucleotides) under uncultured bacterium. Its description in RNAcentral is "partial 16S ribosomal RNA". It matches the Rfam family "Bacterial small subunit ribosomal RNA", at positions 509 to 807 of the family's 1533-position model. The record is from RNAcentral.
CAGUCGCCGCGGUAAUACGAAGGGGGCUAGCGUUGUUCGGAUUUACUGGGCGUAAAGCGCACGUAGGCGGAUCGAUCAGUCAGGGGUGAAAUCCCAGAGCUCAACUCUGGAACUGCCUUUGAUACUGUCGAUCUGGAGUAUGGAAGAGGUAAGUGGAAUUCCGAGUGUAGAGGUGAAAUUCGUAGAUAUUCGGAGGAACACCAGUGGCGAAGGCGGCUUACCGGUCCAUUACUGACGCUGAGGUGCGAAAGCGUGGGGAGCAAACAGGAUUAGAUACCCCCGUAGUCCCUGUCUCUUAUAC